Molecule: small RNA, 1437 nt
Filed under: Pongo abelii (Sumatran orangutan)
Lineage: Eukaryota; Metazoa; Chordata; Mammalia; Primates; Hominidae
Description: retained intron
Source: RNAcentral
GUACAUGUUCCUGGUGAAAUGGCAGGACCUGUCAGAGAAGGUGGUCUACCGGCGCUUCACCGAGAUCUAUGAGUUCCAUGACAAAAAAGCCAGAGACAUACUUGAUGCCCAAAGAUAGCAAGAGUACCGCGACAGACAUCACUGGCCCCAUCAUCCUGCAGACGUACCGUGCCAUUGCCGACUAUGAGAAGACCUCGGGCUCCGAGAUGGCUCUGUCCGCGGGUGACGUGGUGGAGGUCGUGGAGAAGAGCGAGAGCGGUCAGACCUCCCACCCUACAGGGCUCCUUCCCCUGGUGCUCAGGAACCCACAGCCACAAGCCCCCUGCCAAGGCUUAGGCAGCCUGGCCCCUGGGAGGACUCCGGCUCCGUUAGGGGCCCUGAAUGUCUUCCCCACACUGCGGGUCACCCUCUCUCUGAGUGUGCACCCUGUGGUGGCUGUGGGCAUCUGUGCAUGGCAGGCCGGGGCGGGGCAUGUCUGCGUGUUCUGUCUGGAUGGGUAUGGGACCAUCUGCUCAUUAUGAAGUGGGCUCAGAGCUGUGAUUCUGUGAGCAUAUGUGCAUGCAUGCAUGUGACCUCAUUGUCCAGUGUGGUGAAGGUGACAUUUCCAAAUCUGAGCAUUGGACAUCAGUGUGUCUGUGUCCCUGUGUCCUCACCAUCCCUGAUGGCUGCAGGGAGCCGCUGGGCCCUGCCCCUCAGUCACAUUCCCACACCUCUGGCACAGGUUGGUGGUUCUGUCAGAUGAAAGCAAAGCGAGGCUGGAUCCCAGCGUCCUUCCUCGAGCCCCUGGAAAGUCCCGACGAGACGGAAGACCCUGAGCCCAACUAUGCAGGUGAGCCGUACGUCGCCAUCAAGGCCUACAAUGCGGUGGAGGGGGACGAGGUGUCCCUGCUCGAGGGUGAAGCUGUUGAGGAAAGACGAUGUCACAGGCUACUUCCCGUCCAUGUACCUGCAAAAGUCGGGGCAAGACGUGUCCCAGGCCCAACGCCAGAUCAAGCGGGGGGCGCCGCCCCGCAGGUCGUCCAUCCGCAACGCGCACAGCAUCCACCAGCGGUCGCGGAAGCGCCUCAGCCAGGACGCCUAUCGCCGCAACAGCGUCCGUUUUCUGCAGGAGCGACGCCGCCAGGCACGGCCGGGACCGCAGAGCCCCGGGAGCCUGCUCGAGGAGGAGCGGCAGACGCAGCGCUCUAAACCGCAGCCAGCGGUGCCCCCGCGGCCGAGCGCCGACCUCAUCCUGAACCGCUGCAGCGAGAGCACCAAGCGGAAGCUGGCGUCUGCCGUCUGAGGCUGGAGCGCAGUCCCCAGCUAGCGUCUCGGCCCUUCCCGCCCCGUGCCUGUGUAUACGUGUUCUAUAGAGCCUGGUGUCUGGACGCCGAGGACAGCCCCAGCCCCUGUCCAGCGCGGCUCCCGCCACCCUCAAUAAAUGUUGCUUGGAGUGGA